Molecule: long non-coding RNA, 5434 nt
Organism: Oncorhynchus keta (chum salmon)
Lineage: Eukaryota; Metazoa; Chordata; Actinopteri; Salmoniformes; Salmonidae
Exons: 4
Source: RefSeq, a predicted model, not a curated record
ACAAGGUUCUGGGCGUACUGCCAAAUUGCUCUACUGAUAGUGAGGAUUCUUCCCAGGUAUACAUUGUCAGGCAGGAAUUGGUUAUUAGAAAAGCACAAACAUCCAUCACAGUAUGUUAUUACAAGACUGGUUGAAAUGAUUAUUGUUAUUCUUUAAAAAUAUAUGUAUUUGCCUGAAUACGUAAUAACCAGUGGGUAACGUAAUAACGUAUUACAUUCAGUGGAAAAGUUCAUACGUUAACCGUUCAACAUUUAACCAGGUUAUCCGGCAAGUUGUAUUUUAUUACAUAGAAACUAUUACAUUAACCGUUGUUACAUGCCCUCCUAAGUCGUAAAAUGUACUGUGUUUCUCUCACAUGAAGGAGGGCUCAGGGCUGAGUUUCAUUCCAAAAAGUGGGUUUCUUCUUUCUACCCUUAUCACAUUUUCCGGUCAUUAUAACCUUAUUCAUUCUACCUAUAUUAAACAAAAUGUGUAUUUAGUAUAUAAAUGUAUUCUAACCCAUUGUGUAAAAUAAUCUAAAUGAAAAUGUUAGUAGAUGCAUGUCAUAAAUACAAAGAUAUGUUUAACUUGUUGCCUAGGAACAGGAAAAUCACACUGUUGAAAUUGCGUACAGUGUUGAUUCCCUCCACUGCCUUCACCCUGGUGUGAAGGGAGAAAGGAGAGGGAGGAAGGACUUCUGUUCUCAGUAGAACAACACAUACUCCAGGUGUGAAGGGAGAAAGGAGAGGGAGGAAGGACUUCUGUUCUCAGUAGAACAACACAUACUCCAGGUGUGAAGGGAGAAAGGAGAGGGAGGAAGGACUUCUGUUCUCAGUAGAACAACACAUACUCCAGGUGUGAAGGGAGAAAGGAGAGGGAGGAAGGACUUCUGUUCUCAGUAGAACAACACAUACUCCAGGUGUGAAGGGAGAAAGGAGAGGGAGGAAGGACUUCUGUUCUCAGUAGAACAACACAUACUCCAGGUGUGAAGGGAGAAAGGAGAGGGAGGAAGGACUUCUGUUCUCAGUAGAACAACACAUACUCCAGGUGUGAAGGGAGAAAGGAGAGGGAGGAAGGACGGUGUAGUGGGCUGGGAUUGGAUGGCCCGGCCAAAGCUAAAUCCUAUCAUAACUCAUUCAAAAUACACUUUACACCAUCAAUUCUGUCAAGAGUCUUGAGUUACUGGAAAGUGAUACAAACCUAUUUGGAGUGGAUAAGUAACCUAAAUAACCUAAAAAAAACCAGUACAAACAGUAAUAACAGCUCAUCUCUAAAUCCCUCUGUGACAUGGUCUGGUCGCGCUGAGCUCAACUCUCUCCCAGGGCAGAGUACAGGCUACUUCACUGGAUCUUCUCAGAACAGACCUUUUAUAGCUUACUGAGAACAGACCUUUUAUAGCUUACUGAGAACAGACCUUUUAUAGCUUACUGAGAACAGACCUUUUAUAGCUUACUGAGAACAGACCUUUUAUAGCUUACUGAGAACAGACCUUUUAUAGCUUACUGAGAACAGACCUUUUAUAGCUUACUGAGAACAGACCUUUUAUAGCUUACUGAGAACAGACCUUUUAUAGCUUACUGAGAACAGACCUUUUAUAGUUCAUAAAUGACCAGCAUGGUCGAAUAAUAAUAAGGCAGAACAGUUGAAACUGGAGCAGCAGCACGGCCAGGUGGACUGGGGACAGCAAGGAGUCAUCAUGUCAGGUAGUCCUGGGGCAUGGUCCUAGGGCUCAGGUCCUCCGAAAGAGAGAAAGAAAGAGAGAAUUAGAGUAAGCAUAUGUGGGGUGGCCAAUCCUCUUCUGGCUGUGCCGUGUGGAGAUUAUAACAGAACAUGGCCAAGAUGUUCAAAUGUUCAUAAAUUACCAGCAUGGUCGAAUAAUAAUAAGGCAGAACAGUUGAAACUGGAGCAGCAGCACGGGCCAGGUGGACUGGGGACAGCAAGGAGUCAUCAUGUCAGGUAGUCCUGGGGCAUGGUCCUAGGGCUCAGGUCCUCCGAGAGAGAGAAAGAAAGAGAGAAGGAGAGAAUUAGAGAACGCACACUUAGAUUCACACAGGACACCGAAUAGGACAGGAGAAGUACUCCAGAUAUAACAAACUGACCCUAGCCCCCCGACACAUAAACUACUGCAGCAUAAAUACUGGAGGCUGAGACAGGAGGGGUCAGGAGACACUGUGGCCCCAUCCGAGGACACCCCCGGACAGGGCCAAACAGGAAGGAUAUAACCCCACCCACUUUGCCAAAGCACAGCCCCCACACCACUAGAGGGAUAUCUUCAACCACCAACUUACCAUCCUGAGACAAGGCUGAGUAUAGCCCACAAAGAUCACAGUGCCAUCCAUUUUGUCAGCAAAGCCCCAUACAGUAGGGGAAAAAAGUAUUUAGUCAGCCACCAAUUGUGCAAGUUCUCCCACUUAAAAAGAUGAGAGAGGUCUGUAAUUUUCAUCAUAGGUACACUUCAACUAUGACAGACAAAAUGAGGAAAAUAAUCCAGAAAAUCACAUUGUAGGAUUUUUAAUGAAUUUAUUUGCAAAUUAUGGUGGAAAAUAAGUAUUUGGUCAAUAACAAAAGUUUAUCUCAAUACUUUGUUAUAAACCCUUUGUUGGCAAUGACAGAGGUCAAACGUUUUCUGUAAGUCUGAAGACAGAACCUCUACCGAUGGCAUCGUUUAACAGCAUUGAAAAAAAUCAUAUUUAUCCACUCCUGUUACCAAAUUUAGCCUACAUUUGGUGUGUAAUUUUACUGCAAGAAAUGCUUAAUUCUGCAGGAUUUAUUAUUAAGGCUAUAGCCCUAUUCACACGGGACUAGUAUUAUUAGAGAACGUUGGUUAUGUAUUUAUUACCCCAGAAUGUCCAUUAUUUCAAUGGAUGAUUCAGACGGGACUAGUUUUCUCUGCUCUCUAAUACUUUCUCUUUUUAUAUUAAUUGACAGUUAUGACUGAAGCCUGGAGGGGUUUUUUCUAGGCAUGAAGAUAUUUCAACAAGUCCAGGCUACACUGAUAAAACUCGAGCCUGGUUCCCAAGUUUGUAAACCAUACCAAACUGUCUUUGGUAUAGUGUUGCCACAGUAUUUGAAUUGAGGAAGUGUGAUCUGUGAAAGAAGAAUUACCUGAUUUGUUUGAUAUUAAUAGUUAACAAUUAAUACUUAACAAAUAGUAAGACAUUUCUGUUCUACUAAUGCUGUGUUUUUCUGGUCUCCACUCUAUCUCCCUGCAGCUAAUCUGGGCAUAUGGUUUUACUAUAGAUAGCUUGAGCUGACAAUUGAUUAAUAACUUGGUGAUAAAAACCUACAGCUGGUAUUCCAUAGAUAAGAUGUGGUGUGUGUGAUCCGAGAUAGAAAGAGCCUGGAGGAGUAGAACAAUCCCUUAUUGUGUCUAAUCAUUCUUGCAUCUGGGAAAUGUCCCUGGCUGCAGAUGAACACAGGAUGAACCCAGGAUGGAUUGUGGUGCCCCCCAAUCUGCAUGGGGGGGUGGAACCAGCCAUGACUAGGCAUGUUUGGGUCUCCUAUAGAAGAUCUCUGUUUUUGAUUAAAGGUUAAGCUCUCGGCAACACACACUUCGGAGUGUGUGGUCGACCAUCUUCAUUAUUGCAAUAAUGAAUCAUUAUUAAAUAAAGAUGAUCGUUUGACGAAAUGACAAAGUCUCUCUCAGUAUACAUGGAUUUCCAUGACAGAUAAUAAUCAUUAGGAUAGUUUAGCAAUCGGCAGUAGAAGACGUCCUAAAUGCUCCCCAGACGUCCUAAAUGCUCCCCAGACGUCCUAAAUGCUCCCAGCCUUCAGAUGGUAAACAUCUAACGUGGACUUCAUGUGCGUUUUUAGGAAAUGGAUUAGAAGGUAAACUUGUUCCAAACGUUUAGCUCAGUUGUAUGCUGCUUUGUGAUCUAUUAACAGCAGGGGUUGCAUUAAAUAGGAACAGCAUUUUUUAUGAUGCAUUUGGUGAUGUUCAAUAGCCUAUUUGAAGUCCUAUCUUGUGACUGUCGAAUUUGGAUAGCGCCUCACAAUCCUCACUCACACAUAACAUAGCCGACACUAAUAUAAUCUAUUACCACUUCAGCAAAUCUUUCCCAGACAUUACUUUUCUGGCCCUCAAUUCUCUUUAUCUUCAACUCUCCUUUUGCAGCUUUUGGCUUAUUGAAUUAUACUUCGACAAUGUCCUUUCCCCUCAGUGGAUUGACUUUUUCUGCCUGUUCCCAAAAGGCUUAUUUGGCGAUAGGCUGUGACGGCUAUUUGGCAUGCAUACACUUAAGCACUAAAGUUGAAGCUUAUGCAGUUAUAUGAGAUAGUGUAAAACAAUUAAAGAAAACACUCAAUGUAGCCUAUAUAAAUUGCAUAAUAAUGAAUGGAUUUUUUAAGGUAUUGGUUCUCUUUAUUCAACCCACCUGCCCUUCAGCCACACAAUAUUUAAUUAACCUAAACCCGUCCGCCCCGCAGAUAUAACUGCAGGGACUGUGGGUUAUAGGUCAACUCGCGCAUCACUUCCGGGGACCCCAGCCCAAAGUCUUUGUGGGAGAUGAGGCCUUUCCUCUCCUUCCCUGGAGCAAUCAUCCCCAGGAGAAACACGGUCUUCAACUACCGCCUCGCCCGAACCAGGCUGACUGUGGAGUGCACCUUCGCCAUUCUUGCGUCCCACUGGCAGAUAUUCCGGUGAUUUGCCAGGGUCCACCCUGCUAACACAGAUGUGUGUGUGAAGGCUACCUGUGUCCUGUAUAACUUCAUGAGCAUGGACACAAGAACCAGGAGGGGAGCUGCAGCUCGCCGCCGUGUGCCAGAGGAGAGGUCAACUGCUCUGCAGGAUGUUGCCAGGAUGGGGGCCAACAACGCAGCACUUGUCCGUGUGCUGGAGAUCUUCACUUUCUCCUUCUUGGAGGAGGGUGCUGUUCCCUGUUAACAUCUUGUGCCAUGUACUAUGUACAACCAAAGGCUCUUUUAAGAGCCACCCACAUUGCAGUAAAAUAUAUUUUUUUCAUUUAAUGUCAUCUGUAGUUAUUCUAUUCCCACUAUAUCUCCAUUUGAUUUAUAAUUCUCAGGUGAGGGUGCUGUUCAGGUCUGCACAAAACAAGAAUAGGCUGUUUUAAGAUGUUCAGGUGUGUGGGCUGUAGAUCCUUCCACCUUCAAAGAAUAGGCUGUUUUAAGAUGUUCAGGUGUGUGGGCUGUAGAUCCUUCCACCUUCAAAGAAUAGGCUGUUUUAAGAUGUUCAGGUGUGUGGGCUGUAGAUCCUUCCACCUUCAAAGAAUAGGCUGUUUUAAGAUGUUCAGGUGUGUGGGCUGUAGAUCCUUCCACCUUCAAAGAAUAGGCUGUUUUAAGAUGUUCAGGUGUGUGGGCUGUAGAUCCUUCCACCUUCAAAGAAUAGGCUGUUUUAAGAUGUUCAGGUGUGUGGGCUGUAGAUCCUUCCACCUUCAAAGAAUAGGCUGUUUUAAGAUGUUCAGGUGUGUGGGCUGUAGAUCCUUCCACCUUCAAAGAA